GCCCGCAACGAAUCUUGAAAGUUCAUUG
This 28-nucleotide small RNA is filed under the name Sinorhizobium meliloti 2011. Its description in RNAcentral is "putative ncRNA". The record is from RNAcentral. Lineage: Bacteria; Pseudomonadati; Pseudomonadota; Alphaproteobacteria; Hyphomicrobiales; Rhizobiaceae.